UUCCUACGGGGGGCAGCAGUGGGGAAUAUUGCACAAUGGGGGGAACCCUGAUGCAGCGACGCCGCGUGAGUGAAGAAGUAUUUCGGUAUGUAAAGCUCUAUCAGCAGGGAAGAAAUAAAGUCCUUCGGACUUUGGACGGUACCUGACUAAGAAGCCCCGGCUAACUACGUGCCAGCAGCCGCGGUAAUACGUAGGGGGCAAGCGUUAUCCGGAUUUACUGGGUGUAAAGGGAGCGUAGACGGCAGCGCAAGUCUGGAGUGAAAUCCCAUGGCUUAACCAUGGAACUGCUUUGGAAACUGUGCAGC
Molecule: ribosomal RNA, 305 nt
Filed under: uncultured bacterium
Lineage: Bacteria
Description: bacterial SSU rRNA
Rfam family: Bacterial small subunit ribosomal RNA
Source: RNAcentral